Molecule: ribosomal RNA, 460 nt
Filed under: uncultured bacterium
Lineage: Bacteria
Description: partial 16S ribosomal RNA
Rfam family: Bacterial small subunit ribosomal RNA
Source: RNAcentral
GCUACGGGCGGCAGCAGUGAGGAAUAUUGGUCAAUGGGCGCGAGCCUGAACCAGCCAAGUAGCGUGAAGGAUGACUGCCCUACGGGUUGUAAACUUCUGUUAUAAAGGAAUAAAGUGAGGCACGUGUGCCUUUUUGUAUGUACUUUAUGAAUAAGCCUCGGCUAACUACGUGCCAGCAGCCGCGGUAAUACGUAGGAGGCAAGCGUUAUCCGGAAUGACUGGGCGUAAAGGGUGGGUAGGUGGUUUGACAAGUUAGUAGCGCAACUCCGGAGCUCAACUUCGGAACUACUACUAAAACUGUUGGACUUGAGUGCAGGAGGGGCAAUCGGAAUUCCUAGUGUAGCGGUGGAAUGCGUAGAUAUUAGGAGGAACACCAGUGGCGAAGGCGGAUUGCUAGACUGUAACUGACACUGAGGCACGAAAGCGUGGGGAGCAAACAGGAUUAGAUACCCCAGUAGUC